Peromyscus maniculatus bairdii (prairie deer mouse) is the source of this 1990-nucleotide non-coding RNA. The record is from RefSeq and is a predicted model, not a curated record. Lineage: Eukaryota; Metazoa; Chordata; Mammalia; Rodentia; Cricetidae.
CUAGGGCCCAAAGGCAAAACCGUAACUUCGAGGAACGGGUUAACUUACUGAGUUCCAGGCAGAGACCUUGUUCAAAGGUCACUACAGGUUUGUCUUUCUCAAGCAGCAUAUGGACCUUACUCCCUCUGACCUCUUUGCUGCCAUCUUCCCACUGUUGGAGACCCUGAAGCAAGCAUGCUGUGGUGGAGACAGCGGGAAGCUCAGAGGUGGACACAGAAGAAACAUGGUGCUGGAGAGAGACCCAUAGCUGCUGAGCAAGCCUGGGCACGGCACGAAGGACCUGCUUUCCUAAGAGCACUAAGGAGAGUGACCUGGUCAGGCUGAGAGAUAAGAAAGCUUCCUUAGCCUGCCUGGCUACAGCUUCUACAGCUUCUGCCUUCUACAGCUACAGCGGUGCCAGCAGUGAUGACUGCAGGCACAAGCCAGGCAGGGGAUAGCACCCGGUGGAGACAUGUGCGGCGGCUUCCCGUGAGGUGGAAUCCUCAUGUCUUAGAAAGAAGGGAAGAACAGGGGUCAUUCUGUCUUCUCCCAAGCCACAUGGGGAGCACAGCAUAUGCUCCCUAGAUUUGUGGACUGUGGCUGAAGAUUUCAGAGGCAAAAGAGGGCAGUUCUCAGCCGUGUGCCCAGAAGAAGCCGGUGUCAGGUGUGAGGUACAAACGCAUCCUUGGAAUAGAAAUGAGCCUCCCCCUGUGCAAGAGAGCCAGAGUGUGCUGCCUCGGUUCCCCGCCCGGCAGCCCCCACCACUCCAGCCUCAGAUGGGGGAACCCUCAAGAGAGGAAGCCACUCCUUAGACUCGAAGUCUUUUCCUGGUUCCAAAGACUGCGUAGAUGUCAGGGUCUUUCAGGAACCUUUGAAGGCUUUUCUGAGCAGUCAGCUUGUGCACGUGCCCCUACACAGCGGAGACCACCCAGUGGAAUAAGAGAUCGAGGUCCUUCUCCACACACAGUGCUGAGGGGAAAGAUGGACUGUGUUCUGCUGUCUUGCCACUAGGUGGUGGAAUGCAUCAGACCGCGGAGCUGUGCAGGUACGCAUUACAGAGAAUCCUAACUACAUCCUUCUCUCCAGCUUCCUCAAUACAAGCAGAGACAAGUCAGCUCCCUGUCUCCAGGAUGGGGUGAGCAGUGGACUCAAGAGGGGUGCAGAGAGAAUCCCCCAGGACAGAAGCAAGCGCAGGACAGACCUGAAAUCAAGUACAGUCAAUGCCAGAGGAUGCACCAGGUCCUCCAGAUUGCAGAGGUACCUGGAGGCUCGGGACACCAUCCUGGGAGGGACUUUUGGUUGAGAACUUUACAUCUGAGAGAGCCGAGUUCACACCAGCUCCUCAGCAGGCAGCCCGGGUGUGAACCUCCAGGACUCAACACUCAACACUAAGAAAUGAGAGGCGCCACACUUAGGGAAUUCCUGUCAGCCUGCUGACUUCCAGCUGUUGGGAUUGUAGCAGCUUAUUUUAGGCUAUGUAUUCCUAAAAUGAGCUUUGGAGGAAGUGAGAAUUUUAGGCUAAGGGUCAAAGCACAUAAUCCUAACAAAUGGUAAAUAAAUUAGGUGCUGCAUGGUUCAUGUAGGUACAACAUCCACGUAACCACUCGGGGAGGACUGUCCUGUGCUUUGGGAAGGGUUAAUCACCUCCUCAUCCUUCUCACCUGGCCUGAGCCCGGGAGAUGAGGAGAGUGUGUAUCACGGCCCCAAGUAGGGACAGAGCAGAUGGACAAGAUUGAAGGUGGUGGCUUAGAGCUAGGUUCAAUUCCCAGCACCUAUGUGGCAGAUAAUAAUUAUCAGCAGUUCUAGUACCAAGGGAAUCUGACGCCCUCUUCUGGCUUCCACGGGCACUGCACACACAUGGUGCACAGACAGACAUGGAACAAAACACUCAUACCCAUAAACAAUUAAAAAUAAAUAAAUUCCUAAAGAAAGACUUGAGGUGGUGUGACCUCAUACAUUAGAACACAUUCCAUGUUCAAAGUCAGUGACAUCUGCGGACCCCUACCAAAGA